This 441-nucleotide ribosomal RNA is filed under the name uncultured bacterium. RNAcentral describes it as "partial 16S ribosomal RNA". It matches the Rfam family "Bacterial small subunit ribosomal RNA", at positions 338 to 795 of the family's 1533-position model. The record is from RNAcentral.
CCUACGGGUGGCAGCAGUGGGGAAUAUUGCGCAAUGGGGGAAACCCUGACGCAGCAACGCCGCGUGAGUGAAGAAGUUUCUCGGUAUGUAAAGCUCUAUCAGCGGGGAAGAAGGAUGACGCUACCCGACUAAGCAGCCCCGGCCGACUACGUGCCAGCAGCCGCGGUCAUACGGAGGGGGCGGGCGUUAUCCGGGUUUACUGGGGGUAAAGGGAGCGUAGACGGGGGUGCAAGGCUGAAGGGAAAGCCCGGGGCGCAACCGCGGAACCGCGGUGGAAACUGCUAGGCUGGAGUGCGGGAGAGGUAAGCGGAAUGCGUGGUGUAGCGGUGAAAUGCGUAGAUAUCAGGAAGAACACCGAUGGCGAAGGCGGCUUACUGGACAGUGACUGACGUUGAGGCACGAAAGCGUGGGGAGCGAACAGGAUUAGAUACCCUGGUAGUC